GACGAACGCUGGCGGCGUGCCUAAUACAUGCAAGUCGAGCGAAGGUUUUCUGGUGCUUGCACUAGAAAAACUUAGCGGCGAACGGGUGAGUAACACGUAAAGAACCUGCUUCAUAGACAGGGACAACUAUUGGAAACGAUAGCUAAUACCGGAUAACAGUAUUUCUCGCAUGAGAGCUAUCUAAAAGUUGGUUAUGCUAACAAUAUGAGAUGGCUUUGCGGUGCAUUAGCUAGUUGGUGGGGUAAAGGCCCACCAAGGCGACGACGCAUAGCCGACCUGAGGGGGUGAUCGGCCACACUGAGACUGAGACACGGCCCAAACUCCUACGGGAGGCAGCAGUGGGGAAUCUUCCGCAAUGGGCGAAAGCCUGACGGAGCAACGCCGCGUGGGUGAAGAAGGAUUUCGGUUCGUAAAGCUCUGUUGUUAGGAAAGAAUGGAUAUGUAGUAACUAUACAUGUAAGAGACGGUACCUAACCAGAAAGCCACGGCUAACUACGU
Molecule: ribosomal RNA, 498 nt
Filed under: uncultured bacterium
Lineage: Bacteria
Description: partial 16S ribosomal RNA
Rfam family: Bacterial small subunit ribosomal RNA
Source: RNAcentral